CUUUCACCAGGUGCAGUUGAUCCACAGCGACUCAGGUUUAACUGUCUUUAUGUUACACUGUGAUGACUGAGUGAUGUCUUAGUUUUACCAGCAGUGCAGAUUCAGUGUAAAAGUUUCAUCAUUACCCGCCUCAGAUGUUCUUGGAUAACCUGACGAGCAGCAUGCAAAAUGCAGCUGCAGCAACCAGCAGCGCAGCCUUGGUUUCCUCAUCCAGCAGCCACUAUGACGCCAUCAGCCAUGCUGCGAGCUCCUUCCAUGACACUAGGGUCCUCACAGGAGGGGGGGGUGGCACGGGAGGAGGGGCUGACGGCGGCACAUCGGAUAUCAUUUCACUCGAUUGAGCCACGCCAUACUGGACCUGAUGGAGCCUGGUUUUGUUUUUAAUGUGAAAUAUUGUAAAUGUUCAGUUUUCCACACGAGCACUCUGAUGAUGGCAGAGCCCUGUUUUUAACAAUGCUAGCAUUAGCAUGAUAAAUGCCAUGGACCACAUUAACUGAAGAUAUGAGAGUUAAUCAUGUCACGUCAUGUUUGCUGUUCAUGGUCAGGUCCUUUAAUAACAUGCAUACAGAUGUACAUAAAACAAAAAUGUCAUUUUUUGUUUUAGUCGAUUGUCUGAACUUUGUUUUCUACACGGUGACACGGACAGUCUUGUGUCCAUACAUGGUUAUAUUUUCAAAGGAAAACCUUCAGCCUGAGCUCUGUGAACGUCGUCCUGUCACACCAGGACUGGAAACAUUUACAACACCGAGCUGUUGUAGCGAUUUGUUUCCUUUCAUGUAAAUUGGAACUGUGUGCCUCGUCAGUGUGGAGUGGACUGAGAGUGGACCCACUGCUCUGGGCUGGACUAAGAAGACGCUGUCACAGUGAGUGGGUGUUUCCCCACACAGACAGUGGACUGAGCUGUUUCCAGCUCUGGUGGUGUCUGUGGACGUUGUUACAGGGUGGAUUUCAUCUCAUACCAACACAAACUGUGUGUUCUAUUAUACAGUAAAUGAAUCAGAGCAAUAAGAAUUUAACAGGUUUCAGUUACACAGAGUUGUAAUUAAAGGUUCCAGCUGCCUGCAACUCAAACUUCACUGUAAUUUAAUGAACUGCUUUGUGUUUGUAAAGGAAUCAGUGACGUGCUCUCAGAGUGAGGUGUUCAGGUGGAUGUUAAUCUCAGGGCUACAUGUGAUGUAUACACCUUCACUAUGUUCACAGUGACGUCCUGACAUUCUUCACAUACUCUGUCUGUGUUUCCCGUUUAAUAGUUUCCAUAGUUGAACACACAGAAGACAUGUCGCCUUGUCACAGCAGGCAAAGCAUCGAUGUAAUCAAAGCUCACGUCUGUGCCUGUUCUAAUGCUGCUGUGUUGCUGCCUCAUUAACAUUAGUCCAUGUCACAGACGUGCAGUUAUUAUUGGUGUCAUCAUCACGUACGGCCGGCUGUUGAAUCCACACCCUCAGCCAUGCUUCUGUUUGUCCGUCAGUCCCGCCCACAUCAUGAGUCAUUUAAAUGUGAAAACAAACAGUGAUGAUGUCAUCAUUCUCACAAACUAAAUCCAGACUUUGAGCCGUUCCCGUGUUUUUAGUGUGUUAACACGUAUGAACAGUUCAGAGGAUGUGAUGUGUCAAUGAAAUGUUUAUGUGUUGGUGUAAAACUUCAGGUGCAGACAUUUCCUGUUUGAGUCCACUCAUUGAACCUGCAGUGCGCGCGCACACACACACACACACACACACACACACACUGUCUCCCAGCCACAGAGCAGCGACGGUCCCAUCACAACAUUAAUCUGCUUUCUGUUCAUUUCCACACCCAGCCAGUCUCAGGGAGUCUCUCAGCUUUCUGAAGUGGCUGCAUCUUCAAUUCAAAGAUAGCCACAUGAAAUUGUUAAAAUUAAAAAGACAAAAAUAGAGGGACGCAGAAUAUUUUUAGGUCACUUUGUACUUUUUCAAUUCAGAAACUGAAUAUUGUGCUAAUAAAUGUUGGUGUGGACACAUUAAGGCUGUGUGAAUCCAUCACAACAUGAAACAAAGAAAAACUUCACUUUUAGCAACAAAGAUACAUUUUUGAGCAGGUGUCCUGUGACUCUCGCUCCAGAAAUGAGGAUUUAAUUGGAACUAUUAGGAUAUGAGAGAAAACGUCAUAUGAACGAUUAUAAUCUCAGAAUACCAUUUUCUGUAUAACCGUAAGAACGGUGUGCUUUAAACCCAUAAACUUCCUGCCUGUUUGCACCUUUAUUAACGCAUUGGAGCGUUCAUAAAGACGACUGGUUCCCUGUAGGCAGAUGGUAGUGGAUCCACUGGUUUCUGUGUUACUUUAUUUUAUACCUGUACCAUUUUUCUUUAAACACAAUGUUGACAGAAAACGUUUGUUGUGUUUCCUGUAUUCAUCAGCGUCCAGAAUUGUGGUACGUGUAGUUGUUUUUUAUUAAAUAUUUUCUUUUGUAAACAGAAUUUGUUGGUUUUGAAAAUGGGUGAAAAAAUGUAAUUCAAG
Long non-coding RNA from Oreochromis aureus, 2475 nucleotides. NCBI's taxonomy places the organism in Eukaryota, Metazoa, Chordata, Actinopteri, Cichliformes, Cichlidae. The record is from Ensembl.